RNAcentral lists this unclassified non-coding RNA (197 nucleotides) under uncultured Eurotiales. Its description in RNAcentral is "sequence contains ITS1". Lineage: Eukaryota; Fungi; Ascomycota; Eurotiomycetes; Eurotiales. The record is from RNAcentral.
CCAGAGACAGGAACGGCUGCUCGCAGCCCGACCCCUCGCCCCCUAUGUGUACCUUGAAUCUGUUGCUUUGGCGGGCUGACGCGGCCACCGCCGGACGCGGCCACCGCCGCGCGCGCCCGCCGGAGAGAGCCUGGCUUCGGCCGGCUGUCCACCAACAUUAUUGCAUGAGAGCGUCUGAGUCGCGAGGAAAUACGCAA